UAAGCGGAGGAAAAGAAAACUAACAAGGAUUCCCCUAGUAACUGCGAGUGAAGCGGGAAAAGCUCAAAUUUAAAAUCUGGCAGUCUUUGGCUGUCCGAGUUGUAAUCUAGAGAAGUGCUAUCCGCGCUGGACCGUGUAUAAGUCUCCUGGGAUGGAGCGUCAUAGAGGGUGAGAAUCCCGUCUUUGACACGGACUACCAGGGCUCUGUGAUGUGCUCUCAAAGAGUCGAGUUGUUUGGGAAUGCAGCUCUAAAUGGGUGGUAAAUUCCAUCUAAAGCUAAAUAUUGGCGAGAGACCGAUAGCGAACAAGUACCGUGAGGGAAAGAUGAAAAGAACUUUGGAAAGAGAGUUAAACAGUACGUGAAAUUGUUGAAAGGGAAACGCUUGAAGUCAGUCGCAUUGGCCUAGGGAUCAACCUUGCUUCAUGCUUGGUGUAUUUCCUGGUUGAUGGGUCAGCAUCAAUUUUGACUGGUGGAUAAAGGUUGGGGGAAUGUGGCAUCUUUGGAUGUGUUAUAGCCUCUGAUUGUAUACAUCAGUUGGGAUUGAGGAACUCAGCAUGCCGAAAGGGCCAGGUUUAAAAACCAUGUUCAUGCUUAGGAUGCUGGCAUAAUGGCUUUAAUUGACCCGUCUUGAAACACGGACCAAGGAGUCUAACAUGCAUGCAAGUGUUUGGGUGGAAAACCCGAGUGCGUAAUGAAAGUGAAAAUUGAGAUCCCUGUUGUAGGGAGCAUUGAUGCCCGGACCAGACCUUCUGUGACGGAUCUGCGGUUGAGCAUGUAUGCUGGGACCCGAAAGAUGGUGAACUAUGCCUGAAUAGGGUGAAGCCAGAGGAAACUCUGGUGGAGGCUCGUAGCGAUUCUGACGUGCAAAUCGAUCGUCAAAUUUGGGUAUAGGGGCGAAAGACUAAUCGAUCCAUCU
This 917-nucleotide ribosomal RNA is filed under the name Dennisiomyces sp. 1 DJL-2103. Its description in RNAcentral is "eukaryotic LSU rRNA". It matches the Rfam family "Eukaryotic large subunit ribosomal RNA", at positions 47 to 945 of the family's 3401-position model. The record is from RNAcentral. Lineage: Eukaryota; Fungi; Basidiomycota; Agaricomycetes; Agaricales; Tricholomataceae.